AGACUGAGUUGUUGGGGAUGCACUUUUACCCCCCGGCCGGUUGGCUAUCCAAACUCGGUCAUUUAGAGGAAGUAAAAGUCGUAACAUGGUCUCCGUUGGUGAACCAGCGGAGGGAUCAUUAGCGAGUUAAUUACAAACUCCAAAACCCCUGUGAACUUACCUAUGUUGCCUUGGCAGGUCGUGGUGUGUAGCGUGAUCGCUAUAAGGGAUCACCGCCUCGCACCACGCUGAAAGACCUGUCAAAGGACCCCUAAACUCUGUCUUACAACUGUAUCUCUGAGUCUAUUAUAUAAACAAGUUAAAACUUUCAACAACGGAUCUCUUGGCUCUGGCAUCGAUGAAGAACGCAGCGAAAUGCGAUAAGUAAUGUGAAUUGCAGAAUUCAGUGAAUCAUCGAAUCUUUGAACGCACAUUGCGCCUGAUAGUAUUCUGUCAGGCAUGCCUGUUCGAGCGUCAUUUCAACCCCCAAGCCCUAAUCUGCUUGACGUUGGGAGUUUACGGAGACGUAAUUCCUCAAAUAUAGUGGCGGAGCUAGGUCGUGCUCUAAGCGUAGUAACCACACUCUCGCUUCUGCAGCCGGCCUAGGUCUUGCCGUAAAACCCCUAUAUUUAUUUUUUUACUGGUUGACCUCGGAUCAGGUAGGAAUACCCGCUGAACUUAAGCAUAUCAAUAAGCGGAGGAAAAGAAACCAACAGGGAUUGCCCUAGUAACGGCGAGUGAAGCGGCAACAGCUCAAAUUUGAAAUCUGGCCUUCGGGUCCGAGUGGUAUUUUGUAGAG
Molecule: ribosomal RNA, 778 nt
Filed under: Biscogniauxia sp. BRO-2013
Lineage: Eukaryota; Fungi; Ascomycota; Sordariomycetes; Xylariales; Xylariaceae
Description: eukaryotic LSU rRNA
Rfam family: 5.8S ribosomal RNA (bases 303-456)
Source: RNAcentral